CACAAGAGGAUGCUCUCCCUUCCCUCCGUGUCCCGUUGCUCAGCUCCCUCCUCCUUCCUCUCUCGAAAGCCAAGAGCUUUAAGAUUCCUCACUGUUCAACCUUGUUCCGAAAGAUACUCUUGUUCGAACCAGAAUCAACGAAUUCUGUGUAAAGCUUGAGGAGACAGUAGAUUCCAAGUCAGGAAAGUUAAGACUUGAUUCUUGGAUUUCUUGUCGCAUUUCUGGCUUCAGUAGAGCUCGCGUUCAGUCUAUUAUUAAAUCAGGAAUUGUCUCUGUCAAUGGAAAGAUUACCUAUAAGGUAGUUAUUUAACACAUCCCGGUUAUUUUGUUCUCAUCUGGGGUUGGUUUUUCUGAGAUAUUAAUGUUGAUGUCUGUUUAAGUUUUCGCAUAAUGUGAAGGCUGGAGAUGAGAUGGAUUGCAUAAUUUUAGAGUGGAAACCUUUGAGGGUUGAACCUGAAAAUUUACCUUUGGAUAUCGUCUAUGAAGAUGAGAAUGUUCUGGUUGUUAACAAACCUGCCCAGAUGGUGAUCGCUCUUUAAAAAAAGGUUGUUCAUCCUGCGCCUGGUAAUGCUACCGGCACGCUGGUGAAUGGGAUACUACACCAUAGUAGUCUUCCAACAGUUUCAAACCAGGAAGUUUUGUCGGAUGCAGAGGAUAUUUCUGACGACGAUGAUGGUGAAGGGUUAUGUUAUAGCUCAUACGUAGCAUCUGUUCGACCAGGGAUAGUGCAUUGGUUGGAUAAAGGCACCAGUGGAUUGCUUGUUGUUGUUAAGAUUCACACAUCUGUGCACGGGGAAAGAAAUACAUUUUUCAUGCCCGCCUCCUCCCGAUUUUACAGAUAUUUUGAACCAGCUUUGUGAAAUGGAACAGAGAAGGUAUUCUCUCUAAAGGGCAAUUCUGUGUUUUGGGGCAUCACUUUAUUACUAUUUGUGUUCCUUCGAAAGUUUGCAAGUUGAAUGUAAAACCUAAACUUUUGGAAGAUCAUCUAAUCUUGUCUGCUAUAUGAUCAACAAAAGAAAACAUAACAUAGGGUUGCUCAAGUAACACUCGGUCCUGGCACAUCAUGAAUUUUGCUUAAUCUGGCAUGUGUCUUGUCAUUCUGUUAAAUUGUGGUAUAAAAUGGUGUUUUACAUGCUUUUCAUCUUGCUUCUUUAAUCUGAAGGGGUCACUUGAACAAAAUGAUCCAUCAUUUGAUCUUAACCUAGAUUUUCUGUGGCUUUAUUGUACAAGACUGAAGUUUCUGAUUGAUGUUGUUCAUGGUGUGAGCAAAUAAUUUUAGGAACUUGUCUGCUGAUUUUUAACCGUUUGAUGAGCAACCUUCAUUUAAGGAAUGACAGAAUUUCUCGAGCAGCAAUAAGAAAAGAUUGUUCUGCGAGCGAAGACGACAGUGUCAAAACAUGCGGAAGGGUGCAACACCAAAUGGACAAAUUCAUGGUGAGGGCAAGAUUCGGGCAUGUUAAUGAAGGUGCUGGCAACAAGAUUCUACACGGUACAUUUAGGAUUCUGAGGUAGUUCCUCACCACAAGAGAUGGCACUGCCUCGUUCAGUUGAUAGUUCUCAGAAUAGUCUACGACCAUGGUAACUUGGAACGCCAUCCACGAACAGUUGAGAAUGAGAGAGAUUAAAUCGCUAGGAGAAUUUUUGCUUAAUCCCCUGUAUGUUUUGUUGUGAGAAUAUUAGAGGUGACGAAUUAGUUGAUUAAUUUAUGUAAAUAAAUAAAUAAAUGUAUGUUAGCCUCAGUUGGCAUAAGCUAUUUUGAAAUGCCUUAUCAUGAAUUUUUUAGAUUCUUUUUCUAUUGA
Molecule: long non-coding RNA, 1799 nt
Organism: Populus nigra (black poplar)
Lineage: Eukaryota; Viridiplantae; Streptophyta; Magnoliopsida; Malpighiales; Salicaceae
Exons: 3
Source: RefSeq, a predicted model, not a curated record